RNAcentral lists this ribosomal RNA (253 nucleotides) under uncultured bacterium. RNAcentral describes it as "partial 16S ribosomal RNA". It matches the Rfam family "Bacterial small subunit ribosomal RNA", at positions 524 to 776 of the family's 1533-position model. The record is from RNAcentral.
UACGGGGGGGGUAAGCGUUGUUCGGAAUUACUGGGCGUAAAGCGCGUGUAGGCGGUUGUCCAAGUUGGAUGUGAAAGCCUUGAGCUUAACUCAAGAAAUGCAUUCAGGACUGGAUGACUAGAGUCCGGAAGAGGUUAGUGGAAUUCCCAGUGUAGAGGUGAAAUUCGUAGAUAUUGGGAAGAACACCAGUGGCGAAGGCGGCUAACUGGUCCGGUACUGACGCUGAGGUGCGAAAGCGUGGGGAGCAAACAGG